UGACCGCCUCCUGGGUUAUUUUCUUUUCUCCCCCAGCUGCCCCAGGGAUCUGGUUUCCCGAAUCACUUGGCAAAUAACCAGCAGGUGGGCAGAUGUCUUUUUUGCGUUCCUACGGACGCGUAGGCAAGUUGGAUGCGCCGGAGUGAACAGCCAGGGUCCUAUCUCUCAGACGGCUCCCGGGCGGUGCUAGCAGGGAAGAGGGACGCGCCGGCUAAUGAAACACUACUAGCCCGGAAAGCCGGCCUGGACCUUCCACCCGGGGCAGCGAGUCUGGCAGCCCCUCGCCGCCGCCCCCUCCGACCAGAACAGACUGCGCUGCGAGCCCCGGGCUUCCGCCGCAGCGCGCAGAAAUUGGAGGUGCCAGAGGAGACCAGCAGCAGCACUUGA
Molecule: long non-coding RNA, 387 nt
Organism: Symphalangus syndactylus (siamang)
Lineage: Eukaryota; Metazoa; Chordata; Mammalia; Primates; Hylobatidae
Source: RefSeq, a predicted model, not a curated record